UUAAGCGACUAAGCGUACACGGUGGAUGCCCUGGCAGUCAGAGGCGAUGAAGGACGUGCUAAUCUGCGAUAAGCGUCGGUAAGGUGAUAUGAACCGUUAUAACCGGCGAUUUCCGAAUGGGGAAACCCAGUGUGUUUCGACACACUAUCAUUAACUGAAUCCAUAGGUUAAUGAGGCGAACCGGGGGAACUGAAACAUCUAAGUACCCCGAGGAAAAGAAAUCAACCGAGAUUCCCCCAGUAGCGGCGAGCGAACGGGGAGCAGCCCAGAGCCUGAAUCAGUGUGUGUGUUAGUGGAAGCGUCUGGAAAGGCGCGCGAUACAGGGUGACAGCCCCGUACACAAAAAUGCACAUACUGUGAGCUCGAUGAGUAGGGCGGGACACGUGGUAUCCUGUCUGAAUAUGGGGGGACCAUCCUCCAAGGCUAAAUACUCCUGACUGACCGAUAGUGAACCAGUACCGUGAGGGAAAGGCGAAAAGAACCCCGGCGAGGGGAGUGAAAAAGAACCUGAAACCGUGUACGUACAAGCAGUGGGAGCCUCUUUAUGGGGUGACUGCGUACCUUUUGUAUAAUGGGUCAGCGACUUAUAUUCUGUAGCAAGGUUAACCGAAUAGGGGAGCCGAAGGGAAACCGAGUCUUAACUGGGCGUUAAGUUGCAGGGUAUAGACCCGAAACCCGGUGAUCUAGCCAUGGGCAGGUUGAAGGUUGGGUAACACUAACUGGAGGACCGAACCGACUAAUGUUGAAAAAUUAGCGGAUGACUUGUGGCUGGGGGUGAAAGGCCAAUCAAACCGGGAGAUAGCUGGUUCUCCCCGAAAGCUAUUUAGGUAGCGCCUCGUGAAUUCAUCUCCGGGGGUAGAGCACUGUUUCGGCAAGGGGGUCAUCCCGACUUACCAACCCGAUGCAAACUGCGAAUACCGGAGAAUGUUAUCACGGGAGACACACGGCGGGUGCUAACGUCCGUCGUGAAGAGGGAAACAACCCAGACCGCCAGCUAAGGUCCCAAAGUCAUGGUUAAGUGGGAAACGAUGUGGGAAGGCCCAGACAGCCAGGAUGUUGGCUUAGAAGCAGCCAUCAUUUAAAGAAAGCGUAAUAGCUCACUGGUCGAGUCGGCCUGCGCGGAAGAUGUAACGGGGCUAAACCAUGCACCGAAGCUGCGGCAGCGACACUAUGUGUUGUUGGGUAGGGGAGCGUUCUGUAAGCCUGUGAAGGUGUGCUGUGAGGUAUGCUGGAGGUAUCAGAAGUGCGAAUGCUGACAUAAGUAACGAUAAAGCGGGUGAAAAGCCCGCUCGCCGGAAGACCAAGGGUUCCUGUCCAACGUUAAUCGGGGCAGGGUGAGUCGACCCCUAAGGCGAGGCCGAAAGGCGUAGUCGAUGGGAAACAGGUUAAUAUUCCUGUACUUGGUGUUACUGCGAAGGGGGGACGGAGAAGGCUAUGUUGGCCGGGCGACGGUUGUCCCGGUUUAAGCGUGUAGGCUGGUUUUCCAGGCAAAUCCGGAAAAUCAAGGCUGAGGCGUGAUGACGAGGCACUACGGUGCUGAAGCAACAAAUGCCCUGCUUCCAGGAAAAGCCUCUAAGCAUCAGGUAACAUCAAAUCGUACCCCAAACCGACACAGGUGGUCAGGUAGAGAAUACCAAGGCGCUUGAGAGAACUCGGGUGAAGGAACUAGGCAAAAUGGUGCCGUAACUUCGGGAGAAGGCACGCUGAUAUGUAGGUGAAGUCCCUUGCGGAUGGAGCUGAAAUCAGUCGAAGAUACCAGCUGGCUGCAACUGUUUAUUAAAAACACAGCACUGUGCAAACACGAAAGUGGACGUAUACGGUGUGACGCCUGCCCGGUGCCGGAAGGUUAAUUGAUGGGGUUAGCGGUAACGCGAAGCUCUUGAUCGAAGCCCCGGUAAACGGCGGCCGUAACUAUAACGGUCCUAAGGUAGCGAAAUUCCUUGUCGGGUAAGUUCCGACCUGCACGAAUGGCGUAAUGAUGGCCAGGCUGUCUCCACCCGAGACUCAGUGAAAUUGAACUCGCUGUGAAGAUGCAGUGUACCCGCGGCAAGACGGAAAGACCCCGUGAACCUUUACUAUAGCUUGACACUGAACAUUGAGCCUUGAUGUGUAG
Molecule: ribosomal RNA, 2113 nt
Filed under: Escherichia coli
Lineage: Bacteria; Pseudomonadati; Pseudomonadota; Gammaproteobacteria; Enterobacterales; Enterobacteriaceae
Description: bacterial LSU rRNA
Rfam family: Bacterial large subunit ribosomal RNA
Source: RNAcentral